Molecule: long non-coding RNA, 2438 nt
Filed under: Homo sapiens (human)
Lineage: Eukaryota; Metazoa; Chordata; Mammalia; Primates; Hominidae
Description: HSALNT0120779
Source: RNAcentral
UAUCUCCCAGCUUAAGAGGGGCAUAUAAAUGGCAGAGUGCCAGCCAAGCUAUGGGAAUUGGGUAUGGGCCAGCCCGCUGCAUCCCAGGCCUGCCUGUGAGGGUGUGCCGAGGCUAUCUCUCACAGCCCUUCUCAGCUUGUCUCCUUAAUUUGUCCCAUUCUUCUUGGCCUGAAGCCCUCCCAAUCACCACUAUGGGCCCAGCCACGCCACCUCAACUCCUACUCAUUCACUUCUACCCCCACCCCCAUUUCACCCCCGCUCCAUGGCACAGCCUUCUUUAGUGUAUUGCUUAGAUAUGACUUUUAGAAUCCUAGAGCCACGAGGCAGGGCCUGAAUAAGCCAUUAGGGAACUGGUAUUUCUUGAGCACUUACCAUGUGUGAAGAAUCUCUCUGAGAUUUUGCAUACAUUCGCUCUAAUCUUUACAACAUCCUUAGAAGGUAGAGAUACGUGUCCCCAUUUGUAGAAGACGCCAGGGCCCCUGAAGAUGAAAUGAUUUGCCGUAGGCCACACAGCAGGUUGGUGGCAGAAUUGGGAUUUGAACCUAUUCUGCUUGGCUUCAAAGAUCAGGCUCUUUGCACGAUGUGGUCUGGGCCGGUUUUGUCAUGAUUCCUGCUAAGUUAAGCUCUGGGCUAGCCAGGAAGCCGGACUGCAUGAAGAAGGCAGCCACUCCUGCAGAGUGGGCAUGGGGAGGGGGAAGGGAGGAGAAGGGCCAGCCACAGAGCCAUCUGGCAUCUGGAGAAGCCUGUUCAUUCCAGGGCUAACUGGACGUGGUGUCACCCAAACCUCCCUGCUGCCUUCCACGGCCUGACUCUCCCCCUCCUUGGGAGGAAAGUGUCUGAGGACCAUGUUCACCCAGCAGAAUACCUGAGAAGGGGAAGGGCAAUGCUGCACCAUGAGGGAUAAUAAUGCACUAAGACAGGCCCUCAGCUACCCAUCAGGCCAGGGGGCAACAGCUUUGGGCUAAAGGGAUCCUAGACUCCUCCUCACCUUCCAGCCUGUGGGUUUAGUGCUCCAGGCACCCCAUCUCUUUGGGGCUACCCCUGACUCUGAUCUUCUCAUCUUCUAUACAGCCCAACACAGGGAGAGGUUUGAGGAAAUAACAGAUGAAGUGGUGCUCCUUGGGCAGCUGAGACCUUGUCUGUUUGUUCAUCAGACUUUAAUGGAGGUAGUAAAUUUCCUGAAAACUCCCAGGAUUCAAUCUUUUUCCUCAGGCUGUUGAACAUUCAGGCAACUGCACAUGUGAUGUGACUUGGUGAGGGGCACCUGUCACGCAUCUCUGACUGGGUCCCUGAUGAGACCAGACAACAGGUCACUAUCUCCAUCAGACACCCUCCUGGCCCUCCCCUUGAGACUUGCACACGGAAUGGCUCAGCUGGCUUGGAAGGUCAUGCCCUCUGCACCUGGCCCAGAAGGAAGCAGGAUGUAAUCCAGCAGCCACUGAAUCCUAGAAUAUUUGUCUUUCCAUUAAAUUCACAAGAGCAAAAAGUUACGGUUCUGCAAUUGCUCCAUUUAUUCUGAGGCCCCCUAGGAACCCUAGGAAGAUCAGGUCAGCCAGAGCCCAGCAGUGAAUGUUCACUUCAGCCACACAUAUUUAUGAUCUCAAGCAUCGGAUCAACCUCUUCUGGGUUUCUAAACAUUCAGGAGUCUGAGAUCCUUACAGAUCCAUAUUUUCUUUUUGACAUUUCACUUUCUCCUCCAGAAUCAAGGGGAUUCAUCUUUCCUGGCCCUGGAGGGGUGUUGAGAGGUUAUAGGGAGAAGACUUGAUUUCUGAAAUACCGUGGACUAGGAUUCAUCCACUGGUCAGAGAUGUGGUGAAGCUUCAGCGGGGUUAGUGGCCCAUAGCCCUGGCCCUGCUCCCAGCACCGUCAUCCAUCUCAAAGCUCCUGUGGGCUCCGAGGGCCCAAAUGGAAGGGUGUGGGUGGCUCAAGGCCACUUGACCACAAGGACCACGGCACUCUUGGGGGAUGCGGUAGGUGCAAGGAGGGUUCUCUCUCUUUCGGGAUUCUUAGGCGGUCCUCAGUAUCCCUGGAACCCAAGCCAGGAGUCUGGAAAAGCACUGGAGGAACUGGUGCCGGGGCCCCCACCCAUGGCGUGGCCAGGCCAUGUGCUGGCCCAUUGGGAUUUUUCCAUCGCUCCUGUAGGUCAUGCCUUCACUGGUCAGAAGCCUGUCUAGGAGGGGACAGUGAUUAAUGUUUCAUGGAGGAACUGCUGGGCAUGACACCUUGUUUUCUUUAGGUUUAGAAUACAAUGAGGACGAUGAGUGGAAUUUGCUGCUGAGCUGGGGGCCAGGAUGGGGCCAUUCUUGGGGGCCCAAAGACCCAAAGCGCAUCAAUCUGGAACUGGGUGAGAGCACAACUGAUCUUCAGCCGUACGGGCUAGUACAGAUUCACCUGUUUUUUUUUUUUUUUUUUUGAGAUGAAGUCUCCCUCUGUUGCCC